Cynoglossus semilaevis (tongue sole) is the source of this 274-nucleotide long non-coding RNA. RefSeq lists it as uncharacterized. NCBI's taxonomy places the organism in Eukaryota, Metazoa, Chordata, Actinopteri, Pleuronectiformes, Cynoglossidae. The record is from RefSeq and is a predicted model, not a curated record. The transcript has 2 exons.
CUUCCUGUGGAUCUCAUGAAUCACAGCCUGUCCCGCAAAAAAAUUAAAAAAUCUAAUUCAAUUAGCGGUAUAAUAAGUAGAUAUUAUUUUAAAUUGUUUUACUCUGCAGCCUUUUUUAAAUUACCAGCAGGUGUUGCUGUUGUGUUUCCAACUCACCUCUGUCAAUCAAUGUUUAUAAGAGAACUGAUCAUCCAUUCACUGUAGCUGCUGCUGUACAGUAAACAGUUAUGCAUACAAAUAGCCACUAGGGGGCAACCUCAGACCUCAAAAAAAC